Molecule: ribosomal RNA, 339 nt
Filed under: Bacillus sp. (in: firmicutes)
Lineage: Bacteria; Bacillati; Bacillota; Bacilli; Caryophanales; Bacillaceae
Description: bacterial SSU rRNA
Rfam family: Bacterial small subunit ribosomal RNA
Source: RNAcentral
CCCGCACAAGCGGUGGAGCAUGUGGUUUAAUUCGAAGCAACGCGAAGAACCUUACCAGGUCUUGACAUCCUCUGACAAUCCUAGAGAUAGGACGUCCCCUUCGGGGGCAGAGUGACAGGUGGUGCAAAGUCAGCUCGUGUCGUGAGAUGUUGGGUUAAGUCCCGCAACGAGCGCAACCCUUGAUCUUAGUUGCCAGCAUUCAGUUGGGCACUCUAAGGUGACUGCCGGUGACAAACCGGAGGAAGGUGGGGAUGACGUCAAAUCAUCAUGCCCCUUAUGACCUGGGCUACACACGUGCUACAAUGGACAGAACAAAGGGCAGGAAACCGCGAGGUUAAG